CGUGCGCAGAUCAGGGAUCGCGAUUGCGAAUCCUCCGCUGAGGUGAUUUGGAUAUCCCUAGAACGUUGAGGGCAGGAGUCGGGUCCUGAGACCAGGUCCUCAGCCAGCAGAGCCACGUUCCUUAUGAGCACCGCGGGUUUAUUUCAUUUUCCUACACCACUGACCCGAAUAUGCCCGGCGCCAUGGGGACUCCGGCUUUGGGAGAAGCUGACGUUGUUAUCCCCAGGAAUAGCUGUCACUCCGGUCCAGAUGGCAGGCAAGAAGGACUACCCUGCACUGCUUUCCUUGGAUGAGAAUGAACUCGAAGAGCAGUUUGUGAAAGGACACGGUCCAGGGGGCCAGGCAACCAACAAAACCAGCAACUGCGUGGUGCUGAAGCACAUCCCCUCAGGCAUCGUUGUAAAGGUAGAUCACAGAAGGCCGCUGAGGGGAGAGGCCCCGCCCAAGGGUUCCACAGCCUCCAGAGAUUUCUCCCAAGUGUGAAUGGGAUCAGCCGAAGUGCAUUAUUUUUCUGGCUUGGGCCACCCUCUACCAGCCAGGCAGUAGAGAGCACCGCAGAUCUCGUCCCAUCCCUGAGCCAUUCCUCCCUAAGGCAGAACCUCCUACAACAGCCUGGGAAGCCUGUUUCCAGGAUCUUUUGGAGCCAGGGUAUGGCUGCCAUCCUUGAAUUUGGCAGACAGCACUGGUGCUUGGCUGCUGCCCCGGAAGCAACGUCUUGACAAAGCUAAGCAGUGGCUGAUAAAGGCAGGCGCCCGGGCAGCAUGGUUCUUUCAAAUCCGUUCCCGCUGCAGGAAGGCUGCCGAGAUCCCCAGCAUUGCUAUGGGCUCCAAGUCCCUGAGGAGGCGGCAAGCAGGCAUGGGUUGUCCGCUGGCAGUCCCAGCCCUUAACUGUCAUGGUUGGUUAACAUUAGGGUGGCCACAUCCUCCAUGCCUCUCUGUCCCCUUUGGUAAAUGUCGGUGAUACCUCCUCUUCUAGACAGAGAGGACUGAGGGCGAGAUCAUGGAGGAUCAUGGAGGCCAGGCAUUUUCCAACCUCAGAAGAAAAAAUGCUGUGCACAGCUGCCUAUAGGAGUCUUCCUUUUUACAUAAAAAAACAAGUCUCGGGCCAGGCACGGUGGCUCAUGCCUGUAAUCCCAGCACUUUGGGAGGCCGAGGUGGGUGGAUCACCUGAGGUCAGGAGUUCGAGACCAGUCUGGUCAACAUGGCAAAACCCCAUCUCUACUGAAAAUACAAAAAUUAGCCGGGUGUGGUGGCGCGUGCCUGUAAUCCCAGUUACUCGGAGGCUGAGGCAGGAGAAUCGCUUGAACCCUGGAGGCAGACAUUGCAGUGAGCCGAGAUCAUGCUACUGCAUACCAGCCUGGGCAACAGACAAGAUUCCCUCUUAAAAAAAAAAAAAAAAGAAGGUUGGUCAGAGGGGCUCCCAGUCCAUCUGCCUCAGGGAUCACGAGAGAGUCCUGGAAGCAGCACAGAAGAGAGAUAGCCAAGUGCCAUCAGACAAGAUCAGUUGAUCAGAACAGAAAGCUAGCUCGGAAAAUCCUACAAGAGAAAGUAGAUGUUUUCUACAAUGGUGAAAACAGUCCUGUUCACAAAGAAAAACAAGAAGCGGUGAAGAAAAAACAAGAAAGGAAAAAAAGA
This 1634-nucleotide small RNA is filed under the name Pan troglodytes (chimpanzee). RNAcentral describes it as "retained intron". The record is from RNAcentral. Lineage: Eukaryota; Metazoa; Chordata; Mammalia; Primates; Hominidae.